This is a long non-coding RNA of Lingula anatina, 277 nucleotides long. NCBI's taxonomy places the organism in Eukaryota, Metazoa, Brachiopoda, Lingulata, Lingulida, Lingulidae. The record is from RefSeq and is a predicted model, not a curated record.
UGUAGUUCAGUUUUCGUUUUCUGUAUUUUCUUUCAUAUUUAACCGAGCAAAAUGAUGAAUUACUGCAGGGUAUUUGAUCGAGAGAAGGUAACUAACUUUAAAAGCGAUCACAGACUGCCUGCAGUGGUAAAAAUCCAUGGUGAAGGAACUAUAACCAUAAACGGAGGAGAGACGGCGAGGUGGCUUUGAAUCAAGACUCCUCGGAAAAGAAAUUGAUCAGGCAUUUCCCACCAAGCCACACUGAUUGGGUGCAAGUAAAUUAUAUAUAUAUAAAAAA